Molecule: ribosomal RNA, 296 nt
Filed under: uncultured bacterium
Lineage: Bacteria
Description: partial 16S ribosomal RNA
Rfam family: Bacterial small subunit ribosomal RNA
Source: RNAcentral
CUACGUGCCAGCAGCCGCGGUAAUACGUAGGUGGCAAGCGUUAUCCGGAUUUUAUUGGGCGUAAAGAGAGUGCAGGCGGUUUUCUAAGUCUGAUGUGAAAGCCUUCGGCUUAACCGGAGAAGUGCAUCGGAAACUGGAUAACUUGAGUGCAGAAGAGGGUAGUGGAACUCCAUGUGUAGCGGUGGAAUGCGUAGAUAUAUGGAAGAACACCAGUGGCGAAGGCGGCUACCUGGUCUGCAACUGACGCUGAGACUCGAAAGCAGUGGGUAGCGAACAGGAUUAGACUACCCUGGUAG